RNAcentral lists this transfer RNA (72 nucleotides) under Poliometra prolixa. RNAcentral's name for it is "tRNA-Met". The record is from RNAcentral. Lineage: Eukaryota; Metazoa; Echinodermata; Crinoidea; Comatulida; Antedonidae.
AAUAAAAUAAGCUAAUGAAAAGCUUUUAGGCUCAUGUCCUAAAUAUGGAAGGAUAAAAACCUCCUUUUAUUU